AUGAACGCUAGCGACAGGCCUAACACAUGCAAGUCAGGGGCAGCACAAGGAGCAAUCUGAGGUGGCGACCGGCGCACGGGUGAGUAACACGUAUGCAACCUGCCUGUAAGCGGGGAAUAACCCGUUGAAAGACGGACUAAUACCGCAUAAUACUAAAUUACUGCAUGGUAAUUAUUUAAACAUUUAUGGCUUACAGAUGGGCAUGCGCAUGAUUAGCUAGUUGGAGAGGUAACGGCUCCCCAAGGCAACGAUCAUUAGGGGUUCUGAGAGGAAGGUCCCCCACACUGGUACUGAGACACGGACCAGACUCCUACGGGAGGCAGCAGUGAGGAAUAUUGGUCAAUGGACGAGAGUCUGGACCAGCCAAGUCGCGUGCAGGAAGAAUGUCCCUAUGGAUUGUAAACUGCUUUUGCAGGGGAAUAAAGUGCAUCACGUGUGAUGUUUUGUAUGUACUCUGCGAAUAAGGAUCGGCUAACUCCGUGCCAGCCGCCGC
RNAcentral lists this ribosomal RNA (493 nucleotides) under uncultured bacterium. RNAcentral describes it as "bacterial SSU rRNA". It matches the Rfam family "Bacterial small subunit ribosomal RNA", at positions 29 to 518 of the family's 1533-position model. The record is from RNAcentral.